This 819-nucleotide long non-coding RNA is filed under the name Pelobates cultripes (western spadefoot toad). Lineage: Eukaryota; Metazoa; Chordata; Amphibia; Anura; Pelobatidae. The record is from RNAcentral.
AGUGACAAUAGAAAUGGACAGACAUUAAGGAAGUGUUAUGACAGGCAGUGUGGGAGCUGGGGGGGUAUGUGUUACUGUGAGAGAGCUCAGGGAUCACAUAGUACUCAGCCAUGAGGGAGACAGUGUCCUGCUGCUACUGAGGGAGCCAGGCUGAGAGGCUCUGCAGAGUGUGAGGAGACAGGAGAGGCUCUGCAGAGUGUGAGGAGACAGAAGAUGAGAGGCUCUGCAGAGUGUGAGGAGACAGGAGAUGAGAGGCUCUGCAGAGUGUGAGGAGACAGGAGAUGAGAGGCUCUGCAGAGUGUGAGGAGACAGAAGAUGAGAUGCUCUGCAGAGUGUGAGGAGACAGGAGAUGAGAUGCUCUGCAGAGUGUGAGGAGACAGGAGAUGAGAUGCUCUGCAGAGUGUGAGGAGACAGGAGAGGCUCUGCAGAGUGUGAGGAGACAGGAGAUGCUCUGCAGUGUGAGGUGGCAGGAGAUGAGAUGCUCUGCAGAGUGUGAGGAGAUGAGAGGCUCUGCAGAGUGUGAGGAGACAGGAGAUGAGAGGCUCUGCAGAGUGUGAGGAGACAGGAGAUGAGAUGCUCUGCAGAGUGUUAGGAGACAGGAGAUGAGAGGCUCUGCAGAGUGUGAGGAGAGAGGAGAUGAGAGGCUCUGCAGAGUGUGAGGUGGCAGGAGAUGCUCAGCAGUGUGUGAGGUGGCAGUAGAUGAGAUGCUCUGCAGAGUGUGAGGAGACAGGAGAUGCUCUGCAGUGUGUGAGGUGCCAGGAGAUGAGAUGCUCUGCAGAGUGUGAGGAGACAGGAGAUGCUCUGCAGUGUAUGAGGUGG